AGAGUUUGAUCCUGGCUCAGAUGAACGCUGGCGGCGUGCCUUAUACAUGCAAGUCGAACGCUUUGUCUUUAAUUGAUCUGACGAGCUUGCUCUGAUGUGAUUUUAUCUGACAAAGAGUGGCGAACGGGUGAGUAACACGUGGGUAACCUACCUCUUAGCAGGGGAUAACAUUUGGAAACAAGUGCUAAUACCGUAUAAUACCAACAACCGCAUGGUUGUUGGUUGAAAGGUGGUUCUGCUAUCACUAAGAGAUGGACCCGCGGUGCAUUAGCUAGUUGGUAAGGUAACGGCUUACCAAGGCAAUGAUGCAUAGCCGAGUUGAGAGACUGAUCGGCCACAAUGGGACUGAGACACGGCCCAUACUCCUACGGGAGGCAGCAGUAGGGAAUCUUCCACAAUGGGCGCAAGCCUGAUGGAGCAACGCCGCGUGUGUGAUGAAGGGUUUCGGCUCGUAAAACACUGUUAUAAGAGAAGAACGGCACUGAGAGUAACUGUUCAGUGUGUGACGGUAUCUUACCAGAAAGGAACGGCUAAAUACGUGCCAGCAGCCGCGGUAAUACGUAUGUUCCAAGCGUUAUCCGGAUUUAUUGGGCGUAAAGCGAGCGCAGACGGUUAUUUAAGUCUGAAGUGAAAGCCCUCAGCUCAACUGAGGAAUGGCUUUGGAAACUGGAUGACUUGAGUGCAGUAGAGGAAAGUGGAACUCCAUGUGUAGCGGUGAAAUGCGUAGAUAUAUGGAAGAACACCAGUGGCGAAGGCGGCUUUCUGGACUGUAACUGACGUUGAGGCUCGAAAGUGUGGGUAGCAAACAGGAUUAGAUACCCUGGUAGUCCACACCGUAAACGAUGAGUGCUAGAUGUUCGAGGGUUUCCGCCCUUGAGUGUCGCAGCU
This 888-nucleotide ribosomal RNA is filed under the name uncultured bacterium. Its description in RNAcentral is "bacterial SSU rRNA". It matches the Rfam family "Bacterial small subunit ribosomal RNA", at positions 8 to 853 of the family's 1533-position model. The record is from RNAcentral.